RNAcentral lists this ribosomal RNA (1114 nucleotides) under uncultured organism. RNAcentral's name for it is "bacterial SSU rRNA". It matches the Rfam family "Bacterial small subunit ribosomal RNA", at positions 58 to 1201 of the family's 1533-position model. The record is from RNAcentral.
CAAGUCGAACGAGAAAGCUCCUUCGGGAGUGAGUACAGUGGCGAACGGGUGCGUAACACGUUGGUGACCUGCCUUGAGGAGGGGGACACCGUGGGAAACCACGGCUAAUACCCCGGAUGUCUAAACUGUUAGAGGGUUUAGACUAAAACUUCGGUGCCUCAAGAGGGGCCUGCGGGCUAUCAGCUUGUUGGUGGGGUAAUGGCCUACCCAAGGCUAAGACGGCUAGGGGGCGUGAGAGCGCGACCCCCCACAAUGGAACCUGAGACACGGUCCCAUACUCCUACGGGAGGCAGCAGUGAGGAAUAUUGCGCAAUGGGGGAAACCCUGACGCAGCAACGCCGCGUGAACGAUGAAGGCCUUCGGGUCGUAAAGUUCUUUUCUAAGGGAAGAUAGUGACGGUACCUUAGGAAUAAGUCCCGGCUAACUACGUGCCAGCAGCCGCGGUAAAACGUAGGGGGCGAGCGUUAUCCGGAUUUAUUGGGCGUAAAGCGCACGUAGGUGGCGCUGUAAGUUAGACGUGAAAGCUCUCGGCUCAACUGAGAGAGGUCGUUUAAAACUGCAGUGCUUGAGGUUAGAAGAGGAGAGCAGAAUUCCCGGUGUAGUGGUGGAAUGCGUAGAUAUCGGGAGGAAUACCAGUGGCGAAGGCGGCUCUCUAGUCUACACCUGACACUGAGGUGCGAAAGCGUGGGUAGCGAACGGGAUUAGAUACCCCGGUAGUCCACGCUGUAAACGAUGGAUACUAGGUGUAGGGGGUCAUUUAACCCCUCUGUGCCGAAGCAAACGCGUUAAGUAUCCCGCCUGGGGACUACGGCCGCAAGGUUAANACUCAAAGGAAUUGACGGGGGCCCGCACAAGCAGCGGAGCGUGUGGUCUAAUUCGAUGAUACGCGAAGAACCUUACCUGGGCUGAACUACGUGGUAGUAGUGAAGCGAAAGCGGAUCGACCCUUCGGGGAGCCUCGAUAGGUGCUGCAUGGCUGUCGUCAGCUCGUGUCGUGAGAUGUUGGGUUAAGUCCCGCAACGAGCGCAACCCUCGUCGCUAGUUACAAGUGUCUAGCGAGACUGCCGGUAUCAACCCGGAGGGAAGGUGGGGAUGACGUCAAGUCAGCAUGGUCU